AUUGAACGCUGGCGGCAUGCCUUACACAUGCAAGUCGAACGGCAGCGGGGGAGAAGCUUGCUUUUCCUGCCGGCGAGUGGCGAACGGGCGAGUAAUGCCUCGGUAGGUGCUCGAACGUGGGGGCUAACGCAGCGAAAGCGACGCAAGUACCGCAUACGAUGCGAGGAUGCAAGCGGGGGACCGAAAGGCCUCGCGCGAUCGGCGAGGCCGAUAUCAGAUUAGCUAGUUGGUGGGGGAAAGGCCCACCAAGGCAACGAUCUGUAGCUGGUCUGAGAGGACGACCAGCCACACUGGAACUGAGACACGGUCAAGACUCCUACGGGAGGCAGCAGUGGGGAAUUUUGGACAAUGGGCGCAAGCCUGAUCCAGCAAUGCCGCGUGCAGGAUGAAGGCCUUCGGGUUGUAAACUGCUUUUGUACGGAACGAAACGGCGAGCUUUAAUACAGUUUGCUAAUGACGGUACCGUAAGAAUAAGCACCGGCUAACUACGUGCCAGCCGCCGCAGUAA
RNAcentral lists this ribosomal RNA (508 nucleotides) under uncultured bacterium. Its description in RNAcentral is "partial 16S ribosomal RNA". It matches the Rfam family "Bacterial small subunit ribosomal RNA", at positions 29 to 523 of the family's 1533-position model. The record is from RNAcentral.